UGGGCGGAUUAGUGGCGAACGGGUGAGUAAUACGUGAGUAACCUGCCCUUGACUCUGGGAUAAGCCUGGGAAACUGGGUCUAAUACUGGAUACUACCGCUCACCGCAUGGUGGGUGGUGGAAAGGGUUCUACUGGUUUUGGAUGGGCUCACGGCCUAUCAGCUUGUUGGUGGGGUAAUGGCUCACCAAGGCGACGACGGGUAGCCGGCCUGAGAGGGUGACCGGCCACACUGGGACUGAGACACGGCCCAGACUCCUACGGGAGGCAGCAGUGGGGAAUAUUGCACAAUGGGCGGAAGCCUGAUGCAGCGACGCCGCGUGAGGGAUGACGGCCUUCGGGUUGUAAACCUCUUUCAGUAGGGAAGAAGCGAGAGUGACGGUACCUGCAGAAGAAGCGCCGGCUAACUACGUGCCAGCAGCCGCGGUAAUACGUAGGGCGCAAGCGUUGUCCGGAAUUAUUGGGCGUAAAGAGCUCGUAGGCGGUUUGUCGCGUCUGCUGUGAAAGCCCGGGGCUCAACCCCGGGUCUGCAGUGGGUACGGGCAGACUAGAGUGCAGUAGGGGAGACUGGAAUUCCUGGUGUAGCGGUGAAAUGCGCAGAUAUCAGGAGGAACACCGAUGGCGAAGGCAGGUCUCUGGGCUGUUACUGACGCUGAGGAGCGAAAGCAUGGGGAGCGAACAGGAUUAGAUACCCUGGUAGUCCAUGCCGUAAACGUUGGGCACUAGGUGUGGGGGACAUUCCACGUUUUCCGCGCCGUAGCUAACGCAUUAAGUGCCCCGCCUGGGGAGUACGGCCGCAAGGCUAAAACUCAAAGGAAUUGACGGGGGCCCGCACAAGCGGCGGAGCAUGCGGAUUAAUUCGAUGCAACGCGAAGAACCUUACCAAGGCUUGACAUUCACCGGACCGCCCCAGAGAUGGGGUUUCCCUUCGGGGUCGGUGGACAGGUGGUGCAUGGUUGUCGUCAGCUCGUGUCGUGAGAUGUUGGGUUAAGUCCCGCAACGAGCGCAACCCUCGUUCUAUGUUGCCAGCACGUGAUGGUGGGGACUCAUAGGAGACUGCCGGGGUCAACUCGGAGGAAGGUGGGGAUGACGUCAAAUCAUCAUGCCCCUUAUGUCUUGGGCUUCACGCAUGCUACAAUGGCCGGUACAAAGGGUUGCGAUACUGUGAGGUGGAGCUAAUCCCAAAAAGCCGGUCUCAGUUCGGAUUGAGGUCUGCAACUCGACCUCAUGAAGUCGGAGUCGCUAGUAAUCGCAGAUCAGCAACGCUGCGGUGAAUACGUUCCCGGGCCUUGUACACACCGCCCGUCAAGUCACGAAAGUUGGUAACACCCGAAGCCGGUGGCCUAACCCCU
This 1349-nucleotide ribosomal RNA is filed under the name Kocuria rosea. RNAcentral's name for it is "bacterial SSU rRNA". It matches the Rfam family "Bacterial small subunit ribosomal RNA", at positions 84 to 1443 of the family's 1533-position model. Lineage: Bacteria; Bacillati; Actinomycetota; Actinomycetes; Micrococcales; Micrococcaceae. The record is from RNAcentral.